CUUCAGAAAAUUCUGGAAAUAAAACAUGCUCAUGUAUUAAAUAAGGGUAAAUGCCUGUAUUCCACAGAAAAGGAAAUGACGGCCAUAGGUCGUCAACAAGCGCAUAUGGCGCUUGAUUUAAAUAGUCAUAGAUAGCCGUAUUUGAUGACCUACUGAUCAAUUUAUGAUUCAAAUUCCCUCUCAGGCCCGCUGAACGGAUGUCCGUACACGAUUCUGUCUUUGGCCUUGAUCAGGAAGACAUGAUGGCACAAUCUGAUGCUGGAGAAGGGACAUCUGAUCUCCCAUCCACACCUCUCCUCUCUCCGGAGCAACCUGCAGGUCAAGCAACAACCAGUACCACAUCCAGCUCUCCAGCUUUCCCCAGUGAAGCACAGCCUGCAGCAGGACAUGAGUCAAGGGCCCCCAUAAAGAAGCCGGACAGGUAGGCUACUCAUUCAUAUCUAUCCAUCUUUAUUCUAUCACUUCCAUCCUCUAUCACAUCCAACUACUAUCACAUCCCUCCAUUCUCUAUCACAUCC
This is a long non-coding RNA of Gadus morhua (Atlantic cod), 518 nucleotides long. RefSeq lists it as uncharacterized. The transcript has 4 exons. NCBI's taxonomy places the organism in Eukaryota, Metazoa, Chordata, Actinopteri, Gadiformes, Gadidae. The record is from RefSeq and is a predicted model, not a curated record.